Molecule: ribosomal RNA, 603 nt
Filed under: Streptomyces sp.
Lineage: Bacteria; Bacillati; Actinomycetota; Actinomycetes; Kitasatosporales; Streptomycetaceae
Description: bacterial SSU rRNA
Rfam family: Bacterial small subunit ribosomal RNA
Source: RNAcentral
ACGCUGGCGGCGUGCUUAACACAUGCAAGUCGAACGAUGAACCUCCUUCGGGAGGGGAUUAGUGGCGAACGGGUGAGUAACACGUGGGCAAUCUGCCCUGCACUCUGGGACAAGCCCUGGAAACGGGGUCUAAUACCGGAUACUGACCCGCUUGGGCAUCCAAGCGGUUCGAAAGCUCCGGCGGUGCAGGAUGAGCCCGCGGCCUAUCAGCUUGUUGGUGAGGUAAUGGCUCACCAAGGCGACGACGGGUAGCCGGCCUGAGAGGGCGACCGGCCACACUGGGACUGAGACACGGCCCAGACUCCUACGGGAGGCAGCAGUGGGGAAUAUUGCACAAUGGGCGAAAGCCUGAUGCAGCGACGCCGCGUGAGGGAUGACGGCCUUCGGGUUGUAAACCUCUUUCAGCAGGGAAGAAGCGAAAGUGACGGUACCUGCAGAAGAAGCGCCGGCUAACUACGUGCCAGCAGCCGCGGUAAUACGUAGGGCGCGAGCGUUGUCCGGAAUUAUUGGGCGUAAAGAGCUCGUAGGCGGCUUGUCACGUCGGUUGUGAAAGCCCGGGGCUUAACCCCGGGUCUGCAGUCGAUACGGGCAGGCUAGAGUUCG